GUAAUACGAAGGUGGCAAGCGUUGUUCGGAAUCACUGGGCUUAAAGCGCGCGUAGGCGGAAGAGAAAGUGUUUUGUGAAAGCCCCCGGCUUAACCGGGGAAUUGCUUAGCAAACUUCUCUUCUUGAGAUAAGUAGGGGUACAUGGAACUCUUGGUGGAGCGGUGGAAUGCGUAGAUAUCAAGAGGAACGCCAAUGGUGAAGACAGUGUACUGGGCUUAUUCUGACGCUGAGGUGCGAAAGCGUGGGGAGCGAACGGGAUUAGAUACCCCGGUAGUCCACGCCGUAAACGAUGUCUACUAGGUUGUGGGGGUUCUGACACCUUCACAGUCGAAGCGAAAGUGCUAAGUAGACCGCCUGGGGAGUACGGUCGCAAGGCUAAAACUCAAAGGAAUUGACGGGGGCUCACACAAGCGGUGGAGCAUGUGGAUUAAUUCGAAGCAACGCGCAGAACCUUACCUGGGUUUGACAUGCUUGGAUGCCGCCCUGGAAACAGGGUUGGCUGCCUUCGGGUGAAACUUGCACAGGUGCUGCAUGGCUGUCGUCAGCUCGUGUCGUGAGAUGUCGGGUUAAGUCCUUUAACGAGCGAAACCCUUGCCGUUAGUUACCAGCGGGUAAUGCCGGGAACUCUAGCGGGACUGCCGGUGUCAAACCGGAGGAAGGCGGGGAUGACGUCAAGUCCUCAUGGCCUUUAUGCCCAGGGCCUCACACGUGCUACAAUGGCGGCAACAAAGCGACGCGAGACCGUGAGGUGGAGCAAAUCGCAAAAAUGUCGCCCCAGUUCGGAUUGCAGGCUGGCAACUCGCCUGCAUGAAGUUGGAAUCGCUAGUAAUCGCGUAUCAGCUAUGACGCGGUGAAUGUGUUCCUGAGCCUUGUACACACCGCCCGUCAAGUGAUGGGAGUCGGGAGUACCCGAAGUCGGAUUGCUAACCAGUAAUGGAGGCGUCUGCCUACGGUAAGCUCGAUGACUGGCACUAAGUCGUAACAAGGUAGCCGUAGGGGAACCUGCGGCUGGAUCACCUCCUUU
Molecule: ribosomal RNA, 1024 nt
Filed under: Phycisphaerae bacterium
Lineage: Bacteria; Pseudomonadati; Planctomycetota; Phycisphaerae
Description: bacterial SSU rRNA
Rfam family: Bacterial small subunit ribosomal RNA
Source: RNAcentral